RNAcentral lists this long non-coding RNA (1516 nucleotides) under Homo sapiens (human). Its description in RNAcentral is "HSALNT0390950". The record is from RNAcentral. Lineage: Eukaryota; Metazoa; Chordata; Mammalia; Primates; Hominidae.
AGAGAGUGAGCUGUCACUCAGCCUGGAGUGCAGUGGCAUGAUCAUGGCUGACUGCAGCCUUGACCUCCCAGGCGCUAGUGAUCCUCCCACCUUAGUCUCCUGAGUAGUUGAGACUACAGGCGUGUGCCACCAAUUUUUGUAGUUUUUGUAGAGACAGUGUUUGCCAUGUUGCCCAGGCUGGUCUUAAACUCUUAGGCUCAAACAAUUCAUCUGCUUCAGUCACCCAAAGUGCUGGGAUUGCCACCGCACUCAGCUCAGUCAUUUUUCUGGAAUAAAGCUCUUUGGAUUAUUGCAAGCAUUUGGUUGAUUUCUAGAGUUCUGAAAAAGUUGGAUUUUGACAGUUUUUGAUAGUGUUCUUGCUGCUUUUUUAGAAGAAUGGAUUUUCAGAGGUCUUUACCAUUCCGGCAAUCGGUCUCCUUACAGGUUUUUUUGGAGGGAAAAUUUUUAUAUCCUAAAAUACAAAAGUCAUGUGUCCUUGCAUUUUGACAAGAUACAGAACAUUUCUAUCACCUAUGAAAGUUGACUUGUUCCUCUUACCAGUAAAUUUACCACAUCCUCAGAGGCAAUAACUGUUCUGACCUGUCAUCAUUGAUGAGUUGUUCCUGUUCUAGAACUUGGGGAAUCACAGAGUAUCUGCUCUUUUUUUUAAUCAGCCUUCUUUUACUUAGUAUAAUAUCUGUGAGCAUCAUCCAUGUUGUUGCAUAUAUCAGCACUUUCGUUUUCUCCUUUUUAUGCUGAAAAGUAUUCUAUAAUAAGAAUGUAUCAUAGUUUUAUGUUUUUGUUUUUGAGGCAGAGCCUCAUUAUGUUGCCCAGGCUGGGGUGCGGUGGCGCUAUCUCGGCUCACUGCAACUUCCACCUCCUGGGUUCAAGUGAUUCUCCUGCCUCAGUCUCCUGAGUAGCUGGGACUACAGGCACCGCCACUAUGCCCAGCUAACUUUUGUAUUUUUAGUAGAGAGGGAGCAAACUCUGUUGGCCAGGUUGGUUUCGAACUCCUGACCUUAAGCGAUCUGCCUGCCUCAGCCUCCCAAAGUGCUGGGAUUACAGGCGUGAGCCACACACCUGGCCUUAUAUCAUACUUUUUUGGAUUCAUUUGUUCAUGGACAUUUGGCACAAAGUCACCAGUAGCAAAAAAAAUUGCUAGUUGUAGGCCCCCUCUUGCCUGAGAUGUCCCAUCUGGGUUUUAUCAUCUACCUGAAGUGGCUCUGCAGUAGCUUUUUUUAGCAGGGACCCUACCAAAGUGACUUUUGAUAGGUUAAUUUACUUCAGAUCAGCUGCACCAAGCAGAUUUACAAAUAUGUUGGUUGUGUUUUCUUUGCUGCAUUAUACAAUUUCUUCUUGUCCUAGGUUUGUAAAUUCUUAGCCCACUUUGGCAGUGAAAGGCAUAUUUCCCAAUGUUUAUUUAUCUCUGUGGUUAUCCUCUGAUUCAGAUGUUGUUAAAUUUUCCUCUUUGCCUUUGGAACCAAACUGUUAAAACGGAAACUCCUAUCCUAUAACAGAAAUCAGAAUGCAUGGUCCU